RNAcentral lists this ribosomal RNA (253 nucleotides) under uncultured bacterium. Its description in RNAcentral is "partial 16S ribosomal RNA". It matches the Rfam family "Bacterial small subunit ribosomal RNA", at positions 524 to 776 of the family's 1533-position model. The record is from RNAcentral.
UACGGAGGGUGCAAGCGUUGUCCGGAAUCACUGGGCGUAAAGGGCGCGUAGGUGGUGACCUAAGCGUGCGGUGAAAGCCCGAGGCUCAACCUCGGGUCGGCCGUGCGAACUGGGUCACUGGAGCAGAAUAGAGGCAGGUGGAAUUUCGGGUGUAGCGGUGGAAUGCGUAGAGAUCCGGAAGAACACCGGUGGCGAAGGCGGCCUGCUGGGUUCUGGCUGACACUGAGGCGCGACAGCGUGGGGAGCAAACAGG